RNAcentral lists this ribosomal RNA (425 nucleotides) under uncultured bacterium. Its description in RNAcentral is "partial 16S ribosomal RNA". It matches the Rfam family "Bacterial small subunit ribosomal RNA", at positions 354 to 796 of the family's 1533-position model. The record is from RNAcentral.
GUGGGGAAUAUUGGACAAUGGGCGCAAGCCUGAUCCAGCCAUGCCGCGUGAGUGAUGAAGGCCCUAGGGUUGUAAAGCUCUUUCAGUGGGGACGAUAAUGACGGUACCCACAGAAGAAGCCCCGGCUAACUUCGUGCCAGCAGCCGCGGUAAUACGAAGGGGGCUAGCGUUGUUCGGAUUUACUGGGCGUAAAGCGCACGUAGGCGGAUCGUUAAGUCGAGGGUGAAAUCCUGGAGCUUAACUCCAGAACUGCCUUCGAUACUGGCGAUCUUGAGUCCGGAAGAGGUGAGUGGAACUCCUAGUGUAGAGGUGGAAUUCGUAGAUAUUAGGAAGAACACCAGUGGCGAAGGCGGCUCACUGGUCCGGUACUGACGCUGAGGUGCGAAAGCGUGGGGAGCAAACAGGAUUAGAAACCCCAGUAGUCC